UCGGGGAACGAUAACGGCGUCGAGCGGCGGACGGGUGAGUAAUGCCUGGGAAAUUGCCCUGAUGUGGGGGAUAACCAUUGGAAACGAUGGCUAAUACCGCAUAAUAGCUUCGGCUCAAAGAGGGGGACCUUCGGGCCUCUCGCGUCAGGAUAUGCCCAGGUGGGAUUAGCUAGUUGGUGAGGUAAUGGCUCACCAAGGCGACGAUCCCUAGCUGGUCUGAGAGGAUGAUCAGCCACACUGGAACUGAGACACGGUCCAGACUCCUACGGGAGGCAGCAGUGGGGAAUAUUGCACAAUGGGCGCAAGCCUGAUGCAGCCAUGCCGCGUGUAUGAAGAAGGCCUUCGGGUUGUAAAGUACUUUCAGCAGUGAGGAAGGUGGGUGUGUUAAUAGCGCAUUCAUUUGACGUUAGCUGCAGAAGAAGCACCGGCUAACUCCGUGCCAGCAGCCGCGGUAAUACGGAGGGUGCGAGCGUUAAUCGGAAUUACUGGGCGUAAAGCG
RNAcentral lists this ribosomal RNA (499 nucleotides) under Vibrio sp. RNAcentral describes it as "bacterial SSU rRNA". It matches the Rfam family "Bacterial small subunit ribosomal RNA", at positions 73 to 567 of the family's 1533-position model. Lineage: Bacteria; Pseudomonadati; Pseudomonadota; Gammaproteobacteria; Vibrionales; Vibrionaceae. The record is from RNAcentral.